GAUGAACGCUGGCGGCGUGCCUAAUACAUGCAAGUCGAGCGAACGGACGAUAAGCUUGCUUCUCUGAUGUUAGCGGCGGACGGGUGAGUAACACGUGGAUAACCUACCUAUAAGACUGGGAUAACUUCGGGAAACCGGAGCUAAUACCGGAUAAUAUUUUGAACCGCAUGGUUCAAAAGUGAAAGACGGUCUUGCUGUCACUUAUAGAUGGAUCCGCGCUGCAUUAGCUAGUUGGUAAGGUAACGGCUUACCAAGGCAACGAUGCAUAGCCGACCUGAGAGGAUGAUCGGCCACACUGGAACUGAGACACGGUCCAGACUCCUACGGGAGGCAGCAGUAGGGAAUAUUCCGCAAUGGGCGAAAGCCUGACGGAGCAACGCCGCGUGAGUGAAGAAGGUCUUCGGAUCGUAAAACUCUGUUAUUAGGGAAGAACAUAUGUGUAAGUAACUGUGCCCAUCUUGACGGUACCUAAUCAGAAAGCCACGGCUAACUACGUG
Molecule: ribosomal RNA, 497 nt
Filed under: uncultured bacterium
Lineage: Bacteria
Description: partial 16S ribosomal RNA
Rfam family: Bacterial small subunit ribosomal RNA
Source: RNAcentral